UUUCAGCUUUGACUAUGAGAGAAAAUAUUUUCAAUAUGAAUUUUACCGCAGACAGCUUGACCCUUGUGCACUGUAUUAAAACUGUGCCAACGGUCAUAAAUAAUACCAUCACAACACCAUUUUGGAGUAACAAAACAACGACAUCAGGUAGGUAGAUAUUUCAUUUUAAUAGUUGAUAUCAAAUACAUGUAAUAAGUCCUAUUUAUUCUGACCCUAGCUAUACCACACAAGAAACAAUUUGCAAUCAAGACAACCGAUCAAGUCAUCAGAUAUCUUCAUGGUUAUCUUACAUUUUGAUUGAUAUGGGUGCUAGGGUUCCUGCAUGCAUAAUCAUGGAAACUGACCUUUAAAAAAAUGGGCGAACAUGCAAAUCCGAAAUUCUUUUUAAUCAGUAAAUUGAUUGCAAUCAAAUUAUCACGGGUCCGUACGAUACGAUAACAUUGUGGACCUCUUGAUUUACCUUUUUAUUAGAAUGUCUUUUUGUAAAUUCAUUUAUUGAGGCGUUCCAUCGUCCAUCCGCAAGUCAUCCUACGCUUGAGAGAUCAUUGCAAUCAAACAUAUAGUCAUCCUCAUUACAGGACUCCAUAUUACACCUCAUAUUUGCAUGCUGAUUAGAGUAGUUUCUGGGGUUUCCCAUACACAAAAAUGAUAUCUGCCUCUUUAUAUUAUAAUAGACGUGAACUUCUUAUAUCCGCCACUCCUUAUGAAAAAAUGGCAUUUUUCAAUCAAACAUAAUCUGUUCUUCAUUAAACAUCUAGAGCGUGAAAUGCUAUUUUUUUCUGUUACGAUACAUAUCUUUCCUAGGGUUUCACAUAUAAACCACCGAAUUCGUCCUUUCAUUUUUAAAGUGCUGUAUAUUCCCAAUCUGCGACAUGUUCUAAAAGAAGUAAGUUUAUUUCAAACAAUGAUAAUUGUUUGCAGAUUUUGAAUGGCAUAAUCAUAUUGUCCACUUCAUUUUAUUCUACUUUUUUGCGUUUCAUUUUCAAAGUUUCCUUUAUUGAUACAAUAACUUCGUAGUUCAAUUAUUGAGAGAUACUGCUUUUGAAUAGCUUAAUGCUUUUUAUUACCGAUAGACGUAAUUAAAUCUCGUGGGUUUUUCAUACAGUACUUAAAGUUGAUGUUUAAUGUUCAAUACGCAAGGUUCUUAGUUACAAACAUGAAUUUAUAAAAAUUAUUAGUACACCCGUUUAAAAGGGGAUUAAUAUACUAUAAUUUUAUACUAUGAACUUACACUAAAAUAUAUUUACAGACACAUCGUCAUCGAUAAAUGAAUCGUCAGAAGUAGAAACAAUGGUUUCUAUGAUUUUUGUAAUGGUGUUGAUGAUUAUCUUGUAUGCAGCUGGUUGUCGACUGUUCUCCAAGGAAAAGUACCAUGAUUCUUUGAAGAAGGC
RNAcentral lists this long non-coding RNA (1391 nucleotides) under Mytilus galloprovincialis (Mediterranean mussel). Lineage: Eukaryota; Metazoa; Mollusca; Bivalvia; Mytilida; Mytilidae. The record is from RNAcentral.